RNAcentral lists this ribosomal RNA (253 nucleotides) under uncultured bacterium. RNAcentral's name for it is "partial 16S ribosomal RNA". It matches the Rfam family "Bacterial small subunit ribosomal RNA", at positions 524 to 776 of the family's 1533-position model. The record is from RNAcentral.
UACGUAGGGUGCAAGCGUUGUCCGGAAUUAUUGGGCGUAAAGAGCUUGUAGGCGGUUUGUCGCGUCUGCUGUGAAAUUUCGGGGCUCAACCCCGAACUUGCAGUGGGUACGGGCAGACUAGAGUGUGGUAGGGGAGACUGGAAUUCCUGGUGUAGCGGUGAAAUGCGCAGAUAUCAGGAGGAACACCGAUGGCGAAGGCAGGUCUCUGGGCCAUAACUGACGCUGAGGUGCGAAAGCGUGGGGAGCAAACAGG